Long non-coding RNA from Bos taurus (domestic cattle), 516 nucleotides. The record is from Ensembl. NCBI's taxonomy places the organism in Eukaryota, Metazoa, Chordata, Mammalia, Artiodactyla, Bovidae.
ACCUUCAGACACACCUUUGGAUGUGACCUUUCAGGUGGAGAUGCAGUUAUGUUUUAGUCUCCAGCAACUAACUUAAAGCCUGACACACAGCUUCUCCCCAGGUAAAGGGGUGGUAAGUUCUGGAACCUCAGCCUCCCCCAUAACAAGCCACAGUUCCCUUCUCUGCAGAGCAUGGGAGGCCUUUCUGAGUUGGCCUGACUCUGACACUCAGCAUGCAUGGCUGUUGGGAUGUCAGGGGGCAAGCCUAGGCCAUCCACUAGCCGAGCCUUAAACCCAUCUGCACAACAGAAUCUGCCAACGGAAGCUUAAAAAGAUUUCAGAUUCCUUGGACCAUGCCAGAGAACCCCCACUGAGCCUCAAUGUCACCUCCUCUAUGUCAACAUUCAGCCCCUCUGGGCAUUUCCUCCUCUGUGGCCCACUUUGCUUGUCUCCUGACAGCUUCUGCUCCUCGACUGUAAGUUUCUUGAGAGCAGGGUCUUUAUCUUUGGUGAGAGUUAUACAGACCCAGUCCAGAGC